CCUACGUGUCGCAGCAGUGGGGAAUAUUGGACAAUGGGCGAAAGCCUGAUCCAGCCAUGCCGCGUGUGUGAAGAAGGCCUUCGGGUUGUAAAGCACUUUCAGUGGGGAAGAAAGCCUUGGGGCUAAUACCCUCGAGGAAGGACAUCACCCACAGAAGAAGCACCGGCUAACUCCGUGCCAGCAGCCGCGGUAAUACGGAGGGUGCAAGCGUUAAUCGGAAUUACUGGGCGUAAAGCGCGCGUAGGCGGUCUGAUAAGCCGGUUGUGAAAGCCCCGGGCUCAACCUGGGAACGGCAUCCGGAACUGUCAGGCUAGAGUGCAGGAGAGGAAGGGAGAAUUCCCGGUGUAGCGGUGAAAUGCGUAGAGAUCGGGAGGAAUACCAGUGGCGAAGGCGGCCUUCUGGACUGACACUGACGCUGAGGUGCGAAAGCGUGGGUAGCAAACAGGAUUAGAUACCCGUGUAGUC
RNAcentral lists this ribosomal RNA (465 nucleotides) under Vreelandella stevensii. RNAcentral describes it as "partial 16S ribosomal RNA". It matches the Rfam family "Bacterial small subunit ribosomal RNA", at positions 338 to 795 of the family's 1533-position model. The record is from RNAcentral. Lineage: Bacteria; Pseudomonadati; Pseudomonadota; Gammaproteobacteria; Oceanospirillales; Halomonadaceae.